GGCUUGCAUCGCCUUGGACCCGAUACUCCCGUCGGUUCCCACGUCCGGCUCGUUCACGCCGCGGCUCUUCUGGUUCGGUACGGUCAGUGUCCGAGUUGUCCUCACUGGAUUGGGACUGUUCUUCUGGAAUGGGUUGAUUUCUCCUCCUCGGCCGGGGAGCAUUAGCUCGAUCCCUCCCAGCUAUAUGAGCCAGCUGCUCAGUUACAGUAGCCAGUGCGGCUUGGAGUUCAGCAUGGUUAGCCAUCAGUUGAGCAUUGAUCUCGGCUUGUGUUGGUGCUCCAUUUAGAUCUCCCAUGUCGCCUGUGACAAAAGAGGAAGAAAGAAAAGUGAUCUGCAAGGGAUCAAAGAAAAAGGAGGAAGAUACCUAAAUAGAUAUGCAAUUGAAUGUUAAACUUCCUUUUUUUUUUUUUUUAUAAGUUUUCGAAAAUUAAAAUAUGGAAAGUAUAAACUUCCCUUUUUUUUUUUAAAAAAAAUUUUGGAAAAACUUGGAGUGCAAUCCAAGGAAAAAUUAAAUGCAAUUAAAUGGAAAUCCGCAAAAUCGAUGGAUCAAGAUAUGCCAAAAGGAAAAAUAUGGUUUUGAACUCGCCAAGAACAGCAAGAACACAAUGCAAUUUUUUUGAAGUUCAAAGGAAUGAAACAAGCAAUUAACAAAAAGCCAAAAGGAUAGAAUACAACCGAAGGUGUAGGAGCUUUGAGCUCUG
RNAcentral lists this long non-coding RNA (701 nucleotides) under Brassica rapa (field mustard). RNAcentral's name for it is "long non-coding RNA (BRAP_LNC008251)". Lineage: Eukaryota; Viridiplantae; Streptophyta; Magnoliopsida; Brassicales; Brassicaceae. The record is from RNAcentral.